Molecule: ribosomal RNA, 601 nt
Filed under: uncultured archaeon
Lineage: Archaea
Description: bacterial SSU rRNA
Rfam family: Archaeal small subunit ribosomal RNA
Source: RNAcentral
UCCCUAUGGGGUGCAGCAGGCGCGAAACCUCCACAAUGCGCGAAAGCGUGAUGGGGUUAGCCCGAGUGCCGUCCGAAAAGGAUGGCUUUUCCUUGGUGUAAAAACCCAGGGGAAUAAAGGGGGGGCAAGACUGGUGUCAGCCGCCGCGGUAAUACCAGCCCCCUGAGUGGUAAGGACGAUUAUUUGGCUUAAAGCGUCCGUAGCCGGCUUAGUGAGUCUUUUGUUAAAUCCAAUGAUUCAAUCAUUGAACUGCAAGAGAUACUGCUACGCUAGAGGACGGGAGAGGUCGACGGUAGUCCAGGGGUAGGGGUGAAAUCCUAUAAUCCUUGGAGGACCACCAGUGGCGAAGGCGGUCGACUAGAACGUGCCUGACGGUGGGGGACGAAAGCUGGGGGAGCGAACCGGAUUAGAUACCCGGGUAGUCCCAGCUGUAAACGAUGCGGGCUAGGUGUAGGGGCAGCUACGAGCUGCUCCUGUGCCGCAGAGAAAUUGUUAAGCCCGCCGCCUGGGGAGUACGAUCGCAAGAUUGAAACUUAAAGGAAUUGGCGGGGGAGCACCGCAAGGGGUGAAGCUUGCGGUUUAAUUGGAUUCAACGCCGGAA